Molecule: long non-coding RNA, 262 nt
Filed under: Elaeis guineensis (African oil palm)
Lineage: Eukaryota; Viridiplantae; Streptophyta; Magnoliopsida; Arecales; Arecaceae
Description: long non-coding RNA (EGUI_LNC047716)
Source: RNAcentral
ACCAUGUAUCUAUCUAUGUUAUUGAGGAGCACCGUAGAUUAUGGAGCUAAUCUUAGAGCUAAUUUACAGCAACAGAAUAUUGUUAUUGAUGUAUAUUUUUUGUUAAUUUACAGCAACAGAAUAUUGUUAUUGAUGUAUAUCUUUUGUUUCCUUUAUUGUUGUAUAUGUCUUCCUGAUUUGUUGGUGUGUAAAUAUUAUGAGAGCACAUUGCUCUCCUUAAUGAAUAUAAUCCCCUUCGUGGCAAAGUUAACGUGGUAUCAGA